AUGGAAAAGGAAAAGGCAAAUUGGGAUGCACAUCACAUAACCGUGUUUUGUGAGUUAUGCAAAGAUGAGGUGGAUAAAGGUAAUAGGCCAAAGCGUUGUUUGAACCGUAGAGGGUACAAACAUCUUGAAGAGAAGUUCUUUGAUAAGACUGGAAAAAGAUGUUCGCAGAAUCAGUUUACAAAUAAAUGGGACAUGCUGAAGAGACAAUAUGUACAAUUCAUGUUGUUGAAACAUGCGGCGACUGGGCUAGGUUGGGAUGAUGUGAAGAAAACUAUUGUAGCCGAUGAUGACUGGUGGAAAGUUCAUCUUAAGAAAAACCCGAAGCAUGCAAAGUAUAAGAAAAAGGGCUUGUCUAACUUGGAAGAAAUGCAAAGGAGGGCAAGGUCUCACCUAAGGAUGGCAAGUCUGCAAAGGAGGGCAAGGUUUCAAAAAAUGUGA
RNAcentral lists this ribosomal RNA (438 nucleotides) under Triticum aestivum (bread wheat). RNAcentral describes it as "partial small subunit ribosomal RNA". The record is from RNAcentral. Lineage: Eukaryota; Viridiplantae; Streptophyta; Magnoliopsida; Poales; Poaceae.